Molecule: RNA transcript, 1362 nt
Organism: Sycon ciliatum
Lineage: Eukaryota; Metazoa; Porifera; Calcarea; Leucosolenida; Sycettidae
Exons: 5
Source: RefSeq, a predicted model, not a curated record
UUGAAGAAGGCCUUGAAAAGUAUUUCGUGGAACCGACAUGUCUGCGAAGCAUAACGAUUAGUAGAUUUCACCAUGGCGGUUGGUAACGAAGACAAAGUUGCGAUAUCGCCUUAUGGCUAGUCAUUUCUGUAGCUUGGGCUUUGAAAGGAGCUUGAAGAAUGUUCUGCUUUCAUCGUCCCAUUCAUGAUUUCGGAGUAUUUAUUUACAUGACUGAUUCAAUCAGUAAUAGAAUCAGGUAACUGGUUGUAUUACACUUUCGGAGAGGAUGUCACAAAAUGCACGUAGUACUACUACUAGUGAGCUGAAGCCAUUACUGAAGAAGUAUCAGCAAUGGAGAUGGAGAUGACCAGUGCUACUUCCCAGCUCAGAUGCAUGCUGAUGCUCCUCGGGUUCCUGGGCUUUGCCAACGAGUAGAUCUACAUGUUGAGAGUGUGCCUGUCUAUGACUAUCGUGGCUAUGUCUAAGUCACCCGGCAACCCGGUACGUGGCAUAAUACCCGGAGACUGAAACGCGACAAAAGUGCUUUGUUGAACAGAACUGUUAGAUAAACUAGCGGAACAUUCUUCAUCACCGUUCGUGGGUGCAGUGGAAAAUUGUCAAGCAUAUACCGCUAUUAAACACAUGAGCUGCUUGGAAGCGGGUGGGUUUUCAACCGUGCUGCGACCCACAGUGAAUUGGGAACGUGCGGUCUGGCACAAGGUUAACAAGAUGAAUGCGGCAUAAUGAGUAUUCGGCCUUUUUAGGGAUCUGGUUGGUGGAUCUGAUCUAUCCUCCCGCACCAUAUUAUGAGCUACAUCUAUCACCGGAUCAUGGAGUGGUAGCGUCCCACGGAAGCGGAAAUGUGGUUCUUGACCUCCUCGGUGGUGCUGGUAUGGUCUGGUGCGUGACUUGGUUUCUGUUCGCCGCCGACUCACACGCCAAACGCAGUACUGUCCGUCACUCUGAGAGGACCUUCAUAGAAACAUCACUGGCCACACAGCGUUGUACGGAGAGUCAAGUGUCUGUACCGUGGUCCGCACUGCUGCCGUCAUUACCACAGUGGGCUAUUGUGCUGGCCCAUAUUUGCGAUCACCGUGGGUUUCUACACGAUACUGGCUUGUCUACCGACGUACUUGAGUGAUGUGAUGUAGUUCGAGAUUGCCGGGGCCAGUCUAUGGUCGGCACUACCAUACAUGGUCUACUUAGUGCUGAUGCCAAGCUUUGGCAGAGUAGCUGACUGGCUACUUGAAACUCAUCUCUCCGCAACGAAGGUGCGCAAGAUCUUUACUAUGGCAGCCUGACAGGACAGCUCGCCAAUGGCGGAACGUGUUCUACGUGUUUGGAGCAUUCUUCUACACCGUAUUUGGCCAGGGUGUUCGCCAG